ACAUGCCUAUAACAUAGCAUUAAUGCACUGGAUCCCAUUAGAACUUCGGAGUUAAGCACGUUCAGGCUAGUGUAGUACUGGAUGGGUGACCGCUUGGGAAGUCCUAGUGUUUUACAUGCC
Non-coding RNA from Picea glauca (white spruce), 120 nucleotides. The record is from Rfam. Lineage: Eukaryota; Viridiplantae; Streptophyta; Pinopsida; Pinales; Pinaceae.